Populus trichocarpa (black cottonwood) is the source of this 454-nucleotide long non-coding RNA. RefSeq lists it as uncharacterized. The transcript has 2 exons. The record is from RefSeq and is a predicted model, not a curated record. NCBI's taxonomy places the organism in Eukaryota, Viridiplantae, Streptophyta, Magnoliopsida, Malpighiales, Salicaceae.
UAUGUUUGGUAAAAUCAACAUUAUGCACCAGAUACCACUUUGAAAAGCACAGUUGAUCAUUGCAGCUACAGAAGAUGGAAAGAAAAAAAAUCAUAGUAAUUCGGUUUAAGUUACAAAUAAAAUUCAAAUUUAUUUACCUUCAUCUCAUAGAAAAAUAAAUGAAAAAUAUAUCCAAUUUAGAUAAGAAACUAAUUUUUCCAGGCUUAAAAAAUAAAUUACGAUUUCAUAAUGAUUACUUUAGGUUUGCUCAGGCAACAACACAAGAAGAUAAACGAGGAAAAAGAGCAUACACGAAGGCAUUUCAGUCUCCAAGCUUACUGCUGGUGCUGGUAAAAUUCCCAUUCUCAUAAAUGCAUAUAAAUAGGAGUCGAGGUUAAGAAAUUACAUGUGAUAAAUGGAUAUCUCUCCAUCACGUCUUCAUUGUUCAUAAAAUAAUACAUUCAAUUGGGAAUUU